GGUGGGAUGCCUGAGCGGCUUAAAGGGACGGUCCUGAAAACCGUUGUUCCCUUACGGGAACCGUGAGUUCGAAUCUCACUCCCACCG
Molecule: transfer RNA, 87 nt
Filed under: Patescibacteria group bacterium
Lineage: Bacteria
Description: tRNA-Ser
Rfam family: tRNA
About the family: Transfer RNA (tRNA) molecules are approximately 80 nucleotides in length. Their secondary structure includes four short double-helical elements and three loops (D, anti-codon, and T loops). Further hydrogen bonds mediate the characteristic L-shaped molecular structure. tRNAs have two regions of fundamental functional importance: the anti-codon, which is responsible for specific mRNA codon recognition, and the 3' end, to which the tRNAs corresponding amino acid is attached (by aminoacyl-tRNA synthetases). tRNAs cope with the degeneracy of the genetic code in two manners: having more than one tRNA (with a specific anti-codon) for a particular amino acid; and 'wobble' base-pairing, i.e. permitting non-standard base-pairing at the 3rd anti-codon position.
Source: RNAcentral